This 183-nucleotide non-coding RNA is filed under the name Eubacterium sp. RNAcentral's name for it is "6S RNA". It matches the Rfam family "6S / SsrS RNA". Rfam says of the family: E. coli 6S RNA was the first non coding RNA to be sequenced, but its function was unknown until recently. It consists of 184 nucleotides that fold into an extended hairpin structure with a large single-stranded internal bulge. Lineage: Bacteria; Bacillati; Bacillota; Clostridia; Eubacteriales; Eubacteriaceae. The record is from RNAcentral.
GAAAUCCUGGGGUGUUCGAUACCCUGCUAUUUUGAACCUACAUUUUUUUUACGGGUUCCCUACAUUGCAGAUUGGAUGUCAGGCCGCCAUCAUAUAGCAGCGGAAGGCAGAAGAGAUGCUGCGGUUACCCACCUGGCUUUGGCUAGGACUCAAAAUUGCAGGAAACGGCACUUUGGGAUUUUG